CAUGGCUCAGGAUGAACGCUAGCGGCAGGCUUAAUACAUGCAAGUCGUGGGGCAGCGCAGUGUAGCAAUACAUGGGCGGCGACCGGCAAACGGGUGCGGAACACGUACACAACCUUCCUACAAGUGGGGAAUAGCCCAGAGAAAUUUGGAUUAAUACCCCGUAACAUAUAAAGAUGGCAUCAUUUUUAUAUUAUAGCUACGGCGCUUGUUGAUGGGUGUGCGGCUGAUCAGGUAGUUGGCGGGGUAAUGGCCCACCAAGCCUGCGAUCAGUAGCUGAUGUGAGAGCAUGAUCAGCCACACGGGCACUGAGACACGGGCCCGACUCCUACGGGAGGCAGCAGUAAGGAAUAUUGGACAAUGGGCGCAAGCCUGAUCCAGCCAUGCCGCGUGAAGGAUUAAGGUCCUCUGGAUUGUAAACUUCUUUAUAAGGGACGAAAAAGGGAAUUCUUUCUCACUUGACGGUACCUUAUGAAUAAGCACCGGCUAACUCCGUG
Molecule: ribosomal RNA, 494 nt
Filed under: uncultured bacterium
Lineage: Bacteria
Description: bacterial SSU rRNA
Rfam family: Bacterial small subunit ribosomal RNA
Source: RNAcentral